Long non-coding RNA from Oncorhynchus tshawytscha (Chinook salmon), 1415 nucleotides. Lineage: Eukaryota; Metazoa; Chordata; Actinopteri; Salmoniformes; Salmonidae. The record is from Ensembl.
AGGGGCAACAGGGUAGCCUAGUGGUUAGAGUGGAGGGGCAACAGGGUAGCCUAGUGGUUAGAGCGUUGGACUAGUAACCGGAAGGUUGCGAGUUCAAACCCCCGAGCUGACAAGGUACAAAUCUGUCAUUCUGCCCCUGAACAGGCAGUUAACCCACUGUUCCUAGGCCGUCAUUGAAAAUAAGAAUUUGUUCUUAACUGACUUGCCUGGUAAAAUAAAAAUUUUAAAAAAUACUGUUGAUGUCAUGGAUUGGCAUUCUUUCCUCCAACUCCAUCACUAAAACAGUGAAAGGCUGACGGGCGUUGUUGUUGUUGUUGUUGUUUGAACGGCAGAUUUAACCCCGUUAAAGGGGCGAUUGUGGAUUUUGUCUGUGCCCACCCGGAUCUGUGUUUGUUUUGAUUUGUGUCCUUUCUUUAUGAGUUGUUAGGUAGAUUAUUAAGGGUGUUUUAUGAACCAAAAUGAGGCAUCAUUUGGCUCCAGUGUAAAAUGAAUUUGUUCCUCUGCAGUCGACUGUCAAUUUCUCAGCCCCGAGGUACAGUACAUUCCAGGGCUGUGUCUGUAGAUGAAAAGACUCCAGUUCACUAAAGAGGGCAAGUGGAGACAGGUUCCACAUGCCUACCCAGGAAGGUAUCAGUGGGACAAAUGACCUACAUUACCUCAUCUACCAGUGGUGGAUACUAAAACGUAUUUUUCUCUAAACGGGUGGAGUACGUCAGUGUAUAUUGGGCAGAAGGUCCCCAGUUUGUCUGGAUCAGAACGGGACCUACUGUGUUUUAACAGGGACAUUGUAAAGUCAACAUCUGGAGUCAAUAUCGGCCUAUUCACAACGGCUAUUUUCUGACCUUGUUCCUGUAAAGAAUGACAGCGGGGGAAAGAAAUGGCGGAGAAAUGGUUGUGGAUGUUAAUACCACGGAGGGGAUGCUGGAGCUCACGUGGGAAAGGUGCUGGACAAGGUAAAGCUGUCUUGCUGGGUGGUGGUGGUGUUGUUGUUGUUGAUGGUUGUGGUGGAGUAGUUGUUGAUGGUGGAGUUGUUGUUGGCGGAGUUGUUGUUGGUGGUGGAGUUGUUGUUGUUGGUGGUGUUGUUGUUGUUGUUGUUGGUGGAGUUGUUGUUGUUGGUGGUGGAGUUGUUGUUGGUGGUGGAGUUGUUGUUGUUGGUGUUGUUGUUGUUGGUGGAGUUGUUGUUGGUGGUGGAGUUGUUGUUGUUGAUGGUGGUGGUGGAGUUGUUGUUGUUGGUGGAGUUGUUGUUGGUGGUGGAGUUGUUGUUGGUGGUGGUGUUGUUGUUGUUGAUGGUGGUGGUGGAGUUGUUGUUGGUGGUGGAGUUGUUGUUGGUGGUGGUGUUGUUGUUGGUGGUUGUGGUGGAGUUGUUGUUGUUGGUGGUGGAGUUGUUGUUGGUGGUGGAGUUGUUGUUGGUGGUG